GACGAACGCUGGCGGCGUGCUUAACACAUGCAAGUCGAACGGUAAGGCCCUGCUUUUGUUGGGUGCUUGAGUGGCGAACGGGUGAGUAACACGUGAGUAACCUGCCUUUUACUUUGGGAUAACUUCCGGAAACUGGUGCUAAUACCGGAUAUUCGCUCCUGCUGCCUGGUGGGGGGUGGAAAGUUUCGUGGGUUGGGGAUGGACUCGCGGCUUCUGAGCUUGUUGGUGGGGUAGUGGUUUACCACGGCUUGGACGGGUAGUCGGCCCGAGAGGGUGGCCGGCCAGAUAGGGCCUGGGAUACGGCCGAGAGUCGUACGGGGGACAAUAGUGGGAAGUAUUGAAGAAUGGGGGGACGCCGGAUCCAGCAGGGCGGAGUGCGGGGUGUUGGGAUUCGGGUUGGAAAACGGUUAAGCCUGUAACAAAGCGGGAGUGACGGUAGUGGGUAAAGAAGCACCGGCUAACUACGUG
Molecule: ribosomal RNA, 468 nt
Filed under: uncultured bacterium
Lineage: Bacteria
Description: partial 16S ribosomal RNA
Rfam family: Bacterial small subunit ribosomal RNA
Source: RNAcentral